This 490-nucleotide ribosomal RNA is filed under the name uncultured bacterium. Its description in RNAcentral is "partial 16S ribosomal RNA". It matches the Rfam family "Bacterial small subunit ribosomal RNA", at positions 28 to 507 of the family's 1533-position model. The record is from RNAcentral.
GAUGAACGCUAGCGAUAGGCUUAACACAUGCAAGUCGAGGGGCAGCAUGGUCUUAGCUUGCUAAGACUGAUGGCGACCGGCGCACGGGUGCGUAACGCGUAUGCAACUUGCCUCACAGAGGGGGAUAACCCGUCGAAAGACGGACUAAUACCGCGUACACUCUAUUUUGGGCAUCCAAGGUAGAGGAAAUGAAAUUCGCUGUGAGAUAGGCAUGCGUCCCAUUAGCUAGUUGGUGAGGUAACGGCUCACCAAGGCGACGAAGGGUAGGGGAACUGAGAGGUUGAACCCCCACACUGGUACUGAGACACGGACCAGACUCCUACGGGAGGCAGCAGUGAGGAAUAUUGGUCAAUGGGCGAGAGCCUGAACCAGCCAAGUCGCGUGAAGGAUGACUGUCUUAUGGAUUGUAAACUUCUUUUGUAGGGGAAUAAAGAGGGGCACGUGUGCCCCAGUGAAUGUACCCUACGAAUAAGCAUCGGCUAACUCCGUG